RNAcentral lists this ribosomal RNA (638 nucleotides) under uncultured bacterium. RNAcentral's name for it is "bacterial SSU rRNA". It matches the Rfam family "Bacterial small subunit ribosomal RNA", at positions 77 to 731 of the family's 1533-position model. The record is from RNAcentral.
AAAUGAUAGGAAUGCUUAGUGGCGGACUGGUGAGUAACGCGUGAGGAACCUGCCUUUCAGAGGGGGACAACAGUUGGAAACGACUGCUAAUACCGCAUGACGCAUUUUGAUCGCAUGGUCGAAAUGCCAAAGAUUUAUCGCUGAAAGAUGGCCUCGCGUCUGAUUAGAUAGUUGGCGGGGUAACGGCCCACCAAGUCGACGAUCAGUAGCCGGACUGAGAGGUUGACCGGCCACAUUGGGACUGAGAUACGGCCCAGACUCCUACGGGAGGCAGCAGUGGGGAAUAUUGGGCAAUGGGCGCAAGCCUGACCCAGCAACGCCGCGUGAAGGAAGAAGGCUUUCGGGUUGUAAACUUCUUUUAAGUGGGAAGAGCAGAAGACGGUACCACUUGAAUAAGCCACGGCUAACUACGUGCCAGCAGCCGCGGUAAUACGUAGGUGGCAAGCGUUGUCCGGAUUUACUGGGUGUAAAGGGCGUGCAGCCGGGCAUGCAAGUCAGAUGUGAAAUCUCAGGGCUUAACCCUGAAACUGCAUUUGAAACUGUAUGUCUUGAGUGCCGGAGAGGUAAUCGGAAUUCCUUGUGUAGCGGUGAAAUGCGUAGAUAUAAGGAAGAACACCAGUGGCGAAGGCGGAUUACUG